AUGUCGAGCCGUAGGUCAAGGUCAAGGCAGUCCGGCUCGUCGAGGAUCACUGACGAGCAAAUCAGCGACCUUGUCUCCAAGUUGCAGGACCUCCUUCCCGAGGCGCGUCUCCGGGGCAAUGAUAGAGUGCCAUCUUCAAGGGUGCUGCAGGAGACGUGCACCUACAUCAGGAGCUUGCACCGGGAGGUGGACGACCUGAGCGAGAGGCUGUCGGAGCUGCUGGCGACCUCGGACAUGAGCAGCGCGCAGGCGGCAAUCAUCCGCAGCUUGCUGAUGUAG
Molecule: ribosomal RNA, 279 nt
Filed under: Triticum aestivum (bread wheat)
Lineage: Eukaryota; Viridiplantae; Streptophyta; Magnoliopsida; Poales; Poaceae
Description: partial small subunit ribosomal RNA
Source: RNAcentral